RNAcentral lists this ribosomal RNA (450 nucleotides) under uncultured bacterium. RNAcentral describes it as "partial 16S ribosomal RNA". It matches the Rfam family "Bacterial small subunit ribosomal RNA", at positions 354 to 796 of the family's 1533-position model. The record is from RNAcentral.
GUGGGGAAUAUUGGACAAUGGGCGAAAGCCUGAUCCAGCCAUGCCGCGUGUGUGAAGAAGGUCUUCGGAUUGUAAAGCACUUUAAGUUGGGAGGAAGGGCAGUAAGUUAAUACCUUGCUGUUUUGACGUUACCGACAGAAUAAGCACCGGCUAACUUCGUGCCAGCAGCCGCGGUAAUACGAAGGGUGCAAGCGUUAAUCGGAAUUACUGGGCGUAAAGCGCGCGUAGGUGGUUCAGCAAGUUGGAGGUGAAAUCCCCGGGCUCAACCUGGGAACUGCCUCCAAAACUACUGGGCUAGAGUACGGUAGAGGGUAGUGGAAUUUCCUGUGUAGCGGUGAAAUGCGUAGAUAUAGGAAGGAACACCAGUGGCGAAGGCGACUACCUGGACUGAUACUGACACUGAGGUGCGAAAGCGUGGGGAGCAAACAGGAUUAGAUACCCUUGUAGUCC